Molecule: long non-coding RNA, 1790 nt
Organism: Bactrocera tryoni
Lineage: Eukaryota; Metazoa; Arthropoda; Insecta; Diptera; Tephritidae
Exons: 5
Source: RefSeq, a predicted model, not a curated record
UACUAGUCGGCAGUAACUAGCAAUGCAGAAAUAGAACGAUAUAUUAAAGAAUUAAAGCAAAGCCCAGAGAAAGCAGAAAAAAUUUCACAAAAACAAAUUUUUACUUCCAAGUAUUGCGCAGCUAAAGAAUACUAUUAGCUUAUUCCUAAGUAAUCAAUUUGUAGUAAAAAAGCGAAUUAAAGUGCAGUUGUGAUGGGAUAGCGUUGACUAAAUGCUUAAGCCCAAAUAAGCGAUAAGUGGUUGAGAUAAAAAGACAAGGCGAAGUAGUGCCACCGCAAGUCUGAGUGAAAAUUGUUAUACCGUUCAGGCAUACACAUCGGCGUUCAGUGUACGACGUGGUUGUGUGUGUGUUAGUGCAGUUCUUAUUCUAGCGAUGGUCUGUUGCUGUUCUGGUAGAAAAAAAUUUAAAGCCCCCAUAGCAGAAUACAUUUAAUUGAACAGGCGCGUCUUUUAAGAGGUGUUCGCGCUUUUCGCGCCUCAGCUCACGGUUUCCGUUACACAACCAACAUCUACAAUAUCUGUUGUGAAAGUGACAGAACAAGGAUCCGCAACGUGCCUUUCGGAGAACAGCGACAUUAGCGUCAUCAUGAAGUUUGAAACUUUCAUUGUCCUCACCGCAAAGCUCACACUAAUCGCAUUGUCUUAUGCAAAUGUUACAAAAUGAACCCAAUUUGGGUGUUAAUGGUGGUAGGCUCAGCCAAAAGACAGCACUGUAAGCGUUUAUACACAGUUGUUAGUACAUACAUAUAGAAGAACAUACUACAUUGCCCAUUUACGUAUGAGCAACAAAUUUCCACAAAUACACGAGACUUUGGCUGAGAUAAUACGGAAUAAUAAAUUUUGCACUAAAACUGGUGAAGAAGCUAAAUUAGUCGCAAAACAAUGGAAUUGUGUAGUUGAAGAAAAUGAUUGCUGAUGUUAUAUACGCUUCGUUCUUUAUUACAACAGAUAACAAAGGACCCACGAUUGUUCGUCAAAUACUCCAAGUUCAUUGUUCCGGAUUUGCCAAAAUAUUUGCCGUCUGUCCUAAUCGGCAUGCAAAGACUUUGUAACAGUCGAAACUAAAGACACACGACACAAAUGGCAACACCACAAAACGUCAUCACUUGUGAUACAUACGAUAAAGCGCUUACAACCAAAAUUAAAAUAUUGUACUAUAUAUCAAUUUAUGUUGGUAUGGCGAAGUGGUAAAACGGUAAAAAAGCAUCAACAAAACAAAAAAAAAUGAGUUCAUAGUAAAUAUUUAAAUAUGUUCUAUAUGCUCAUUUAAGCUCGAUAGUGAAGGGUGAAUGAGGAAAGUAAUGCUCACAGUUUCUCCAGUGAAGCCCUAAGAGAGUUUAUGAAUUCUGCAACUCAACGACAGCACCAGAAAAAAUCAUGUCCAUACGUCCAUAAAUUCAGAUAGAUAUCGAACUUUGCUCAAAUUGCUCAUACGCCUCAGCUUACCCACGGCACAGGACGACCAUCUAAACUUAAAUUGGACUAUUUUGAUAAAUAAAGUAUUGGUUAUUUUCAAUCUAACUAACCACAUACAAUUUUUUUAAAUCAUUCUGUUAAAAGUCUCUUACAUUUUCUCACUUCUAAUAACUUUGCAGGCUGACGAGCCGGAACUUCCCAAGACCUCAAAAGUAGUAGUAGGUGCUUAAGAGCUCGGGAUAAAACAAAACAUUAUGAGCUGUAGGCAUCAAUUAGGAUCCCAUAUUUGAAUGCAAUAGCAUAGAACGCAUUGAGGUGUUCUCCUGGGAGCCUGACAAUUUUACUACUUCCAUGUCCACUGCAGUUUAAACCGG